Molecule: ribosomal RNA, 460 nt
Filed under: uncultured Cellulomonas sp.
Lineage: Bacteria; Bacillati; Actinomycetota; Actinomycetes; Micrococcales; Cellulomonadaceae
Description: bacterial SSU rRNA
Rfam family: Bacterial small subunit ribosomal RNA
Source: RNAcentral
CCCGCACAAGCGGCGGAGCAUGCGGACUAAUUCGAUGCAACGCGAAGACCUUACCAAGGCUUGACAUACACCGGUAACGCCCAGAGAUGGGUGCCCCUUUGUGGUCGGUGGACAGGUGGUGCAUGGUUGUCGUCAGCUCGUGUCGUGAGAUGUUGGGUUAAGUCCCGCAACGAGCGCAACCCUCGUCCUAUGUUGCCAGCGGGUCAUGCCGGGGACUCAUGGGAGACUGCCGGGGUCAACUCGGAGGAAGGUGGGAUGACGUCAAAUCAUCAUGCCCCUUAUGUCUUGGGCUUCACGCAUGCUACAAUGGCCGGUACAAAGGGCUGCGAUACCGCGAGGUGGAGCGAAUCCCAGAAAGCCGGUCUCAGUUCGGAUUGGGGUCUGCAACUCGACCCCAUGAAGUCGGAGUCGCUAGUAAUCGCAGAUCAGCAACGCUGCGGUGAAUACGUUCCCGGGCCUU